RNAcentral lists this ribosomal RNA (1541 nucleotides) under Klebsiella pneumoniae. RNAcentral's name for it is "bacterial SSU rRNA". It matches the Rfam family "Bacterial small subunit ribosomal RNA". Lineage: Bacteria; Pseudomonadati; Pseudomonadota; Gammaproteobacteria; Enterobacterales; Enterobacteriaceae. The record is from RNAcentral.
AAAUUGAAGAGUUUGAUCAUGGCUCAGAUUGAACGCUGGCGGCAGGCCUAACACAUGCAAGUCGAGCGGUAGCACAGAGAGCUUGCUCUCGGGUGACGAGCGGCGGACGGGUGAGUAAUGUCUGGGAAACUGCCUGAUGGAGGGGGAUAACUACUGGAAACGGUAGCUAAUACCGCAUAAUGUCGCAAGACCAAAGUGGGGGACCUUCGGGCCUCAUGCCAUCAGAUGUGCCCAGAUGGGAUUAGCUAGUAGGUGGGGUAACGGCUCACCUAGGCGACGAUCCCUAGCUGGUCUGAGAGGAUGACCAGCCACACUGGAACUGAGACACGGUCCAGACUCCUACGGGAGGCAGCAGUGGGGAAUAUUGCACAAUGGGCGCAAGCCUGAUGCAGCCAUGCCGCGUGUGUGAAGAAGGCCUUCGGGUUGUAAAGCACUUUCAGCGGGGAGGAAGGCGUUAAGGUUAAUAACCUUGGCGAUUGACGUUACCCGCAGAAGAAGCACCGGCUAACUCCGUGCCAGCAGCCGCGGUAAUACGGAGGGUGCAAGCGUUAAUCGGAAUUACUGGGCGUAAAGCGCACGCAGGCGGUCUGUCAAGUCGGAUGUGAAAUCCCCGGGCUCAACCUGGGAACUGCAUUCGAAACUGGCAGGCUAGAGUCUUGUAGAGGGGGGUAGAAUUCCAGGUGUAGCGGUGAAAUGCGUAGAGAUCUGGAGGAAUACCGGUGGCGAAGGCGGCCCCCUGGACAAAGACUGACGCUCAGGUGCGAAAGCGUGGGGAGCAAACAGGAUUAGAUACCCGGUAGUCCACGCCGUAAACGAUGUCGAUUUGGAGGUUGUGCCCUUGAGGCGUGGCUUCCGGAGCUAACGCGUUAAAUCGACCGCCGGGGAGUACGGCCGCAAGGUUAAAACUCAAAUGAAUUGACGGGGGCCCGCACAAGCGGUGGAGCAUGUGGUUUAAUUCGAUGCAACGCGAAGAACCUUACCUGGUCUUGACAUCCACAGAACUUUCCAGAGAUGGAUUGGUGCCUUCGGGAACUGUGAGACAGGUGCUGCAUGGCUGUCGUCAGCUCGUGUUGUGAAAUGUUGGGUUAAGUCCCGCAACGAGCGCAACCCUUAUCCUUUGUUGCCAGCGGUUAGGCCGGGAACUCAAAGGAGACUGCCAGUGAUAAACUGGAGGAAGGUGGGGAUGACGUCAAGUCAUCAUGGCCCUUACGACCGUGGCUACACGUGCUACAAUGGCAUACAAAGAGAAGCGACCUCGCGAGAGCAAGCGGACCUCAUAAAGUAUGUCGUAGUCCGGAUUGAGUCUGCAACUCGACUCCAUGAAGUCGGAAUCGCUAGUAAUCGUAGAUCAGAAUGCUACGGUGAAUACGUUCCCGGGCCUUGUACACACCGCCCGUCACACCAUGGGAGUGGGUUGCAAAGAAGUAGGUAGCUUAACCUUCGGGAGGGCGCUUACCACUUUGUGAUUCAUGACUGGGGUGAAGUCGUAACAAGGUAACCGUAGGGGAACCUGCGGUGGAUCACCUCCUUACCUUAAAGAA